This 1071-nucleotide ribosomal RNA is filed under the name Bacillus sp. N30721VB03_1492r. Its description in RNAcentral is "partial 16S ribosomal RNA". The record is from RNAcentral. Lineage: Bacteria; Bacillati; Bacillota; Bacilli; Caryophanales; Bacillaceae.
UCNCCUUCGGCGGCUGGCUCCAAAGGUUACCUCACCGACUUCGGGUGUUACAAACUCUCGUGGUGUGACGGGCGGUGUGUACAAGGCCCGGGAACGUAUUCACCGCGGCAUGCUGAUCCGCGAUUACUAGCGAUUCCGGCUUCAUGUAGGCGAGUUGCAGCCUACAAUCCGAACUGAGAAUGGUUUUAUGGGAUUGGCUAAACCUCGCGGUCUUGCAGCCCUUUGUACCAUCCAUUGUAGCACGUGUGUAGCCCAGGUCAUAAGGGGCAUGAUGAUUUGACGUCAUCCCCACCUUCCUCCGGUUUGUCACCGGCAGUCACCUUAGAGUGCCCAACUGAAUGCUGGCAACUAAGGUCAAGGGUUGCGCUCGUUGCGGGACUUAACCCAACAUCUCACGACACGAGCUGACGACAACCAUGCACCACCUGUCACUCCUGUCCCCGAAGGGAAAUCCCUAUCUCUAGGGAGGUCAAGAGGAUGUCAAGACCUGGUAAGGUUCUUCGCGUUGCUUCGAAUUAAACCACAUGCUCCACCGCUUGUGCGGGCCCCCGUCAAUUCCUUUGAGUUUCAGCCUUGCGGCCGUACUCCCCAGGCGGAGUGCUUAAUGCGUUAGCUGCAGCACUAAAGGGCGGAAACCCUCUAACACUUAGCACUCAUCGUUUACGGCGUGGACUACCAGGGUAUCUAAUCCUGUUCGCUCCCCACGCUUUCGCGCCUCAGCGUCAGUUACAGACCAGAGAGUCGCCUUCGCCACUGGUGUUCCUCCACAUCUCUACGCAUUUCACCGCUACACGUGGAAUUCCACUCUCCUCUUCUGCACUCAAGUCUCCCAGUUUCCAAUGGCCGCUUGCGGUUGAGCCGCAAGAUUUCACAUCAGACUUAAGAAACCGCCUGCGCGCGCUUUACGCCCAAUAAUUCCGGACAACGCUUGCCACCUACGUAUUACCGCGGCUGCUGGCACGUAGUUAGCCGUGGCUUUCUGGUUAGGUACCGUCAAGGUACCGCCCUAUUNGAACGAUACUUGUUCUUCCCUAACAACAGNNNUUUACGAUCCGAAAACCUUCAUCNNUC